GUGGCAAACGGGUGAGUAACGCGUGGGUAACGUACCCUGAUCCUGGGAAUAACCCUCGGAAACGAGGGCUAAUACCGAAUGUGGCGAACGACCGGUUGGUCGCUCGCUAAAGGUGGCCUCUUCUAUGCUGCCGGGUUGGGAUCGGCCCGCGUCCCAUUAGCUAGUUGGUGAGGUAACGGCUCACCAAGGCCACGAUGGGUAGCCGGCCUGAGAGGGUGUACGGCCACACUGGCACUGAGACAAGGGCCAGUCCCCUAUGGGAGGCGCAGGCGGGAAUAGUUCACAAUGGGCGAAAGCCUGAUGACGCGACGCCGCGUGAGCGAAGAAGACCUUCGGGUUGUAAAGCUCUGUCAGGAGGGAAGAAGGCUCUACGGGUUAAUAGCCCGUGGAAUUGACGGUACCUCCAGAGGAAGCCCCGGCUAAAUACGUGCCAGCAGCCGCGGUAAUACGUAUGGGGCAAGCGUUGUCCGGAUUUACUGGGCGUAAAGGGCGCGUAGGCGGUUUGUUAAGUCGAAGGUGAAAUCCUCGGGCUCAACUCGAGAAUUGCCUUCGAUACUGGCAAACUAGAGUGGCGGAGAGGAAAGCGGAACUCUUGGUGUAACGGUGGAAUGUGUAGAUAUCAAGAGGAACACCGGUGGCGAAGGCGGCUUUCUGGACGCACACUGACGCUCAGGCGCGAAAGCGUGGGUAGCAAACAGGAUUAGAUACCCUGGUAGUCCACGCCAUAAACGAUGGGUACUAGGUGUCGGGGGUAUCGACCCCUCCGGUGCCGCAGUUAACGCACUAAGUACCCCGCCUGGGGAUUAUGGUCGCAAGGCUGAAACUCAAAGGAAUUGACGGGGCCCCGCACAAGCGGUGGAGCAUGUGGUUUAAUUCGACGCAACGCGAAGAACCUUACCUGGGCUUGACAUGCUUGGGACAGCGCUGGAAACAGCGUCUCUCCUUCGGGAGCCCUUGCACAGGUGCUGCAUGGCUGUCGUCAGCUCGUGUCGUGAGAUGUUGGGUUAAGUCUCGCAACGAGCGCAACCCUCGUUAGUAGUUGCCAUCAGCUUGGCUGGGCAGUGUAGUGAGACUGCCGGUGAUAAACCGGAGGAAGGUGAGGAUGAUGUCAAGUCAUCAUGGCCCUUACGCCCAGGGGUACACGCGUGCUACAAUGGUCGGCACAAAGGGUCGGUAAGCCGACGAGGUGGAGCUAAUCCCAAA
Molecule: ribosomal RNA, 1203 nt
Filed under: uncultured organism
Description: bacterial SSU rRNA
Rfam family: Bacterial small subunit ribosomal RNA
Source: RNAcentral